Molecule: ribosomal RNA, 256 nt
Filed under: uncultured Gardnerella sp.
Lineage: Bacteria; Bacillati; Actinomycetota; Actinomycetes; Bifidobacteriales; Bifidobacteriaceae
Description: partial 16S ribosomal RNA
Rfam family: Bacterial small subunit ribosomal RNA
Source: RNAcentral
CGAACGGGUGAGUAAUGCGUGGCCAACCUGCCCCAUGCUCCAGAAUAGCUCUUGGAAACGGGUGGUAAUGCUGGAUGCUCCAACUUGACGCAUGUCUUGUUGGGAAAGUGUUUAGUGGCAUGGGAUGGGGUCGCGUCCUAUCAGCUUGUAGGCGGGGUAAUGGCCCACCUAGGCUUCGACGGGUAGCCGGCCUGAGAGGGCGGACGGCCACAUUGGGACUGAGAUACGGCCCAGACUCCUACGGGAGGCAGCAGGC